UCCUUAGAUGUCCUGGGCCGCACGCGUGCUACACUGACGCAUACAGCGAGCACUUUCCAGUUCCGAGAGGCUACUGGUAAUCAUCAAUAUGCGUCGUGAUGGGGAUAGAUCUUUGGAAUUCUGGAUCUUGAACGAGGAAUGCCUAGUAAUCGCAGGUCAUUAGCCUGCGAUGAUUAAGUCCCUGCCCUUUGUACACACCGCCCGUCGCUACUACCGAUUUCGAGUGGUCAGGUGAAUCUUUCGGACUGUGGGCGCCCUUGAGGUGUUCGCGGAAAGUCAGGUAAAUCUUAUCACUUAGAGGAAGUAAAAGUCGUAACA
RNAcentral lists this ribosomal RNA (318 nucleotides) under uncultured eukaryote. Its description in RNAcentral is "partial 18S ribosomal RNA". It matches the Rfam family "Eukaryotic small subunit ribosomal RNA", at positions 1470 to 1796 of the family's 1831-position model. The record is from RNAcentral.